CCUACGGGCGGCAGCAGUGGGGAAUAUUGCACAAUGGGGGAAACCCUGAUGCAGCGACGCCGCGUGAGUGAAGAAGUAUUUCGGUAUGUAAAGCUCUAUCAGCAGGGAAGAAAAAAGACGGUACCUGACUAAGAAGCCCCGGCUAACUACGUGCCAGCAGCCGCGGUAAUACGUAGGGGGCAAGCGUUAUCCGGAAUUACUGGGUGUAAAGGGAGCGUAGACGGCAAUGCAAGUCCGGAGUGGAAUGCGGCAGCUCAACUGCCGAACUGCUCUGGAAACUGUAUGGCUUGAGUGCAGGAGGGGUAAGCGGAAUUCCUGGUGUAGCGGUGAAAUGCGUAGAUAUCAGGAGGAACACCGGUGGCGAAGGCGGCUUACUGGACUGUAACUGACGUUGAGGCUCGAAAGCGUGGGGAGCAAACAGGAUUAGAUACCCCUGUAGUC
RNAcentral lists this ribosomal RNA (441 nucleotides) under uncultured bacterium. Its description in RNAcentral is "partial 16S ribosomal RNA". It matches the Rfam family "Bacterial small subunit ribosomal RNA", at positions 338 to 795 of the family's 1533-position model. The record is from RNAcentral.